Molecule: unclassified non-coding RNA, 380 nt
Filed under: uncultured bacterium
Lineage: Bacteria
Description: contains 16S-23S intergenic spacer region
Source: RNAcentral
UCCGGUUUGUCACCGGCAGUCUGGCGUGAGUCCCCAACUUAAUGCUGGCAACACGCCACGGGGGUUGCGCUCGUUGCGGGACUUAACCCAACACCUCACGGCACGAGCUGACGACAGCCAUGCAGCACCUGUGUCGGCUCCUCUUGCGAGGUCGGUCCCCUUUCGGUUCCCUACCACCGACAUGUCAAACCCAGGUAAGGUUUUUCGCGUUGCGUCGAAUUAAACCACAUGCUCCGCUGCUUGUGCGGGUCCCCGUCAAUUCCUUUGAGUUUUAGCCUUGCGGCCGUACUCCCCAGGCGGGGCACUUAAUGCGUUAGCGUCGACACGGAGGGAGUCGACACCCCCCACACCUAGUGCCCAUCGUUUACGGCGUGGACUAC